RNAcentral lists this ribosomal RNA (434 nucleotides) under uncultured bacterium. RNAcentral's name for it is "bacterial SSU rRNA". It matches the Rfam family "Bacterial small subunit ribosomal RNA", at positions 29 to 507 of the family's 1533-position model. The record is from RNAcentral.
AACGAACGCUGGCGGCAGGCCUAACACAUGCAAGUCGAGCGAGGUAGCAAUACCUAGCGGCGGACGGGUGAGUAACGCGUGGGAACGUACCCUUUGCUACGGAAUAGCCUCGGGAAACUGGGAGUAAUACCGUAUGUGCCCUUCGGGGGAAAGGAUUUAUCGGCAAAGGAUCGGCCCGCGUUGGAUUAGGUAGUUGGUGGGGUAAUGGCCUACCAAGCCUACGAUCCAUAGCUGGUUUGAGAGGAUGAUCAGCCACACUGGGACUGAGACACGGCCCAGACUCCUACGGGAGGCAGCAGUGGGGAAUCUUAGACAAUGGGCGCAAGCCUGAUCUAGCCAUGCCGCGUGAGUGACGAAGGCCUUAGGGUUGUAAAGCUCUUUCAGCUGGGAAGAUAAUGACGGUACCAGCAGAAGAAGCCCCGGCUAACUCCGUG